CCUACGGGAGGCAGCAGUGAGGAAUAUUGGUCAAUGGACGAGAGUCUGAACCAGCCAAGUAGCGUGAAGGAUGACUGCCCUAUGGGUUGUAAACUUCUUUUAUAUGGGAAUAAAACAGGGUAUGCAUACCCUCUAGUAUGUACCAUAUGAAUAAGGAUCGGCUAACUCCGUGCCAGGAGCCGCGGUAAUACGGAGGAUCCGAGCGUUAUCCGGAUUUAUUGGGUUUAAAGGGAGCGUAGGUGGAUUGUUAAGUCAGUUGUGAAAGUUUGCGGCUCAACCGUAAAAUUGCAGUUGAAACUGGCAGUCUUGAGUACAGUAGAGGUGGGCGGAAUUCGUGGUGUAGCGGUGAAAUGCUUAGAUAUCACGAAGAACUCCGAUUGCGAAGGCAGCUCACUGGACUGCAACUGACACUGAUGCUCGAAAGUGUGGGUAUCAAACAGGAUUAGAUACCCGAGUAGUC
This 460-nucleotide ribosomal RNA is filed under the name uncultured bacterium. RNAcentral's name for it is "partial 16S ribosomal RNA". It matches the Rfam family "Bacterial small subunit ribosomal RNA", at positions 338 to 795 of the family's 1533-position model. The record is from RNAcentral.